Molecule: ribosomal RNA, 373 nt
Filed under: Asterionellopsis glacialis
Lineage: Eukaryota; Bacillariophyta; Plagiogrammaphyceae; Rhaphoneidales; Asterionellopsidaceae
Description: partial Eukaryotic small subunit ribosomal RNA
Rfam family: Eukaryotic small subunit ribosomal RNA
Source: RNAcentral
UGACAGAUUGAGAGCUCUUUCUUGAUUCUAUGGGGGGUGGUGCAUGGCCGUUCUUAGUUGGUGGAGAGAUUUGUCUGGUUAAUUCCGUUAACGAACGAGACCUUAACCUGCUAAAUAGUUACACGUAACCUCGGUUACGUGGGCAACUUCUUAGAGGGACUUUGCGUGUCUAACGCAAGGAAGUUUGAGGCAAUAACAGGUCUGUGAUGCCCUUAGAUGUUCUGAACCGCACGCGUGUUACACUGAUGCAUUCAACGAGCUAUUAACCUUGGCCGAGAGGCCUGGGAAAUCUUGGAACGUGCAUCGUGAUAGGGAUUGAUUAUUGUAAUUUUUAAUCAUGAACGAGGAAUUCCUAGUAAACGCAGAUCAUCAA